Molecule: non-coding RNA, 83 nt
Organism: Schistocephalus solidus
Lineage: Eukaryota; Metazoa; Platyhelminthes; Cestoda; Diphyllobothriidea; Diphyllobothriidae
Source: Rfam
GGCCUCGAAGCUGAGUUGGCUAGAGCGUUGGCUGAACUAAAGCCUUCCCCUUGCUGGCGUGGGUUCGAUUCCCACCGAGGCCG